AUUGAACGCUGGCGGCGCGCCUAAUACAUGCAAGUCGAGCGAGAAGACGUAGCAAUACGUUUGUAAAGCGGCGAACGGGUGAGGAAUACAUGGGUAACCUACCCUCGAGUGGGGAAUAACUAGCCGAAAGGUUAGCUAAUACCGCGUACGCUCCUUGGACUUCGGUUCAGGGAGGAAAGCGAUACCGUGGGUAUCGCGCUCUUGGAUGGGCUCAUGUCCUAUCAACUUGUUGGUGAGGUAACGGCUCACCAAGGCUUCGACGGGUAGCUGGUCUGAGAGGACGAUCAGCCACACUGGCACUGCACACGGGCCAGACUCCUACGGGAGGCAGCAGUAAGGAAUAUUGCGCAAUGGGCGAAAGCCUGACGCAGCGACGCCGC
RNAcentral lists this ribosomal RNA (380 nucleotides) under uncultured bacterium. Its description in RNAcentral is "bacterial SSU rRNA". It matches the Rfam family "Bacterial small subunit ribosomal RNA", at positions 30 to 400 of the family's 1533-position model. The record is from RNAcentral.